Molecule: small nuclear RNA, 24 nt
Filed under: Arabidopsis thaliana (thale cress)
Lineage: Eukaryota; Viridiplantae; Streptophyta; Magnoliopsida; Brassicales; Brassicaceae
Description: snRNA_15373
Source: RNAcentral
GUUUUUCAAUAACCUUCUUGUGUU